GAUGAACGCUGGCGGCGUGCCUAAUACAUGCAAGUAGAACGCUGAAGGAGGAGCUUGCUCUUUCCGGAUGAGUUGCGAACGGGUGAGUAACGCGUAGGUAACCUGCCUGGUAGCGGGGGAUAACUAUUGGAAACGAUAGCUAAUACCGCAUAACAGUAGAUAUUGCAUGAUAUUUGCUUGAAAGGGGCAAUUGCUCCACUACCAGAUGGACCUGCGUUGUAUUAGCUAGUUGGUGAGGUAACGGCUCACCAAGGCGACGAUACAUAGCCGACCUGAGAGGGUGAUCGGCCACACUGGGACUGAGACACGGCCCAGACUCCUACGGGAGGCAGCAGUAGGGAAUCUUCGGCAAUGGACGGAAGUCUGACCGAGCAACGCCGCGGGAGUGAAGAAGGUUGUCGGAUCGUAAAGCUCUGUUGUAAGAGAAGAACGAGUGUGAGAGUGGAAAGUUCACACUGUGACGGUAUCUUACCAGAAAGGGACGGCUAACUACGUG
This 496-nucleotide ribosomal RNA is filed under the name uncultured bacterium. RNAcentral's name for it is "partial 16S ribosomal RNA". It matches the Rfam family "Bacterial small subunit ribosomal RNA", at positions 28 to 507 of the family's 1533-position model. The record is from RNAcentral.